This 488-nucleotide ribosomal RNA is filed under the name uncultured bacterium. Its description in RNAcentral is "partial 16S ribosomal RNA". It matches the Rfam family "Bacterial small subunit ribosomal RNA", at positions 28 to 507 of the family's 1533-position model. The record is from RNAcentral.
GAUGAACGCUGGCGGCGUGCUUAACACAUGCAAGUCGAACGGAAAGGCCCUGCUUUUGUGGGGUGCUCGAGUGGCGAACGGGUGAGUAACACGUGAGUAUCCUGCCCUUGACUUUGGGAUAACUUCAGGGAACUGGGGCUAAUACCGGAUAGGAGAUCCUGCUGCAUGGUGGGGGUUGGAAAGUUUCGGCGGUUGGGGCUGGACUCGCGGCUUCUUAGCUUGUUGGUGUGGUAGUGGCUUACCAAGGCUUGGACGGGUAGCCGACCUGAGAGGGUGACCGGCCACACUGGAACUGAGACACGGUCCAGAGUCCUACGGGAGGCAGCAGUAGGGAAGCUUCCGCAAUGGGCGAAAGCCUGACGGAGCAACGCCGCGUGAGUGAUGAAGGUCUUCGGAUCGUAAAACUCUGUUAUCAGGGAAGAACAAAUGUGUAAGUAACUGUGCACGUCUUGACGGUACCUGAUCAGAAAGCCACGGCUAACUACGUG